UUAGCAAUCAUCAUUAUUUUAUUAUGUUGUGAGAAAGAUGGAAAAUGCUACUAAAGUUUUGUUGAGAAUUAUUAAACAUGUUCCUGCUUUUUGUUCUCAGAAUUCUCUAAUCCAAUAAAAUGUUCUAUUGAGCUUUUUAUCUUAAUUGAAUUUUCCAUUUUUUUCCUAAUACAUAGCCAGUAAUUUAAAACAAAUUAAGUAAUUUCCCAGAGCUUAGUAGAAUUAGGUUGAAUCAAAGGGAACUAUCACCAUAUUUCUUUAGUGAAUAUAUUCAAGAAGCUUUGUUUGCCAAGUUUGAUUUAACUGGAGUGAUUAAUAGUACCAGCAAAGCCCGUAUUUCUGUCUUCCCAAUGCGAAAUUUUAGUUUACCUACAUUUUCCACGCACUAGUGUCACAACAAAAUACUAAGUCAUAAUUGCCUCUUUCCCUUAUAGUUAGAAUUCUGUCAUUAAAAAUAAUAAUCCUGGUUUAUCUAAAAGCAUGGCAUUUUUUUUUGUCUGGUUACAAACAUAAUGUUACCUGCUUUAAAAGUGUGUACUGCAGGAUAGCUUAGAGAGUUUUCC
This 563-nucleotide long non-coding RNA is filed under the name Homo sapiens (human). RNAcentral describes it as "HSALNT0215319". Lineage: Eukaryota; Metazoa; Chordata; Mammalia; Primates; Hominidae. The record is from RNAcentral.